CCGCGUGGCGGCGAGCGGCGGCCGGGCUGGCCGGCGGGCUCGGGCGACGGCGGCGGGGAGCCGCGGCCGGCAGAGGGUCCGUGGGCAGGCGGAGCCGCGGCUCCGGGGGCUUGUCCGGGGGCUGCGGGGCCGGGGGUCCGGGCGGACAGGGGCCGUGCAGUGCGGGGAACCGGCGGCUGAGGUUUGCCUCGCUGUGCUGCCUCGUGGGGUCUGGGGAUUGCGGGGGGGUUUGUGCCCUGGGAACGGGGCCGUGGGGUGCAGGCUGGUGCGUCUGCGCUGGUGAAUCUGGGCCACGGUUUGUGGUCGGUUGUCCACGCUGGUGUUAGGGGCACUGGUGAGCAGUUGGACGAAUGAUUUGGGGAAUGGGGCUGUGGCUCGCGUUGGGUUGUAUAUUGGACGUGUGGCUCGCAUUGGGUUGUAUGUUGGGACAUGGAGUGGCAGUCGGGGUUUGCUGUGGCAGGUGUUGGGGGAUAGGAAUCACGAGCUGCACUGGGGUGCCAGCACUUAAGGACAGGAGCUGUGGUUGGCACUGGUGUGCCUGUGCUGGAGAGUGAGGGCUGCUGUGGGGUGUGCAGAUUGGAAAGAAGGGUCAGUGACUGUAGUGGGGGCGUAUUUGAGGGGAUAAGGGUUGUGAUUUGCAGUGAAUUAAAUGUAGCUGGAGGUAGAUGCCAUGGUUUGCCGUGACACAUGUGCUGGGAAGUAGGGGCCAUGAUUUAUGGUUGGGUGUAUGUGCUGGGCAACGGGAGCCCUGCUUUCUGGUAUCAUGCACACAGGUGUAGUGUGCAUCAGAGAGUACGGACCAUGAUGCCUGUGGCAUGGUCCAGAAGCAUUUAAGUGGAGCAGGGUUACUUCUGGUGAGGGCAUGGCAUUGAUUUUGCAACGCGUCUCUUUUUGAUCUUUGUGUAUCUGCGUAUAACUGAGUGUAUCCACACCCAGGGCUUUGCACAUACCUGUGCAUGAUGCUCAGCACACCAUUUUUCCAUGUGUUCUGUUGUCAGUAUGUAAGCACAAUUUGUGUAGUCAGGCAUCUCCAACCCAGUCUCUUCCGGAUAAUGUGCUGGCCUCUGGACUCAGGAUGUGCUGUACAGUCCUGUGUGCAGGACUUACAUGGCCGUGCUCCUGUGCUUGGGCCUGAGUUUGCAGUUUUGGCCUGCCCCCUGAUGUCUUGGGGAACUGCUGGAAAAAUGAGAGUCUGCCAUUCUCCUCCUCUUCUAAAAAUGGGUCAAGGAAGCAGGAAACUCCAGAGCUGGAUUUGCGCAGGUUGAUGAAGAGGGAGUGCUGUGACCCCGUGCCCGUGCCAGUCUUUUCAGGUAAACGCUGUUUUUUUCUUCCCUUUUUUUGCCUUUGGAAAUGCCCUGGGUCUCCCAACGGGAAGUGAGGCUGAUGAGGGCCCUGCUGCCUCCACCUGGGAGGGCAUCACCUGUCUGGGGCACUGGGGAUGGAGACCUGGCCAGUGCUCUUGAGCAGCAGCAUGGAGGACUGAGGGCAAAAAUGGGGCUUGUGAGGGCUGGAAAAGGAUGGAGGGUGUCAGGCUGAAGGGAACAGGGUGCAUUCAGGCAGGUUGUAAGUGAUGCAGAAGCAGUUAUGAGUCAGGAGUAGGUCAUCACAUCAUGUAUGUGCCUUGAGGAGACACCAAGAGGAAAAGACAAGGGGAGAAAGGGUCUGCCCAGACCCUUCCCUCUGGGAUCCAGCAUGCCAUCUCUCAUAGAAUCCUCCCAGGUCCAUCCAGCUGAGAUCCAGCAUCUCUGACUGGGGCAAGGACCACUGGUCUUGGAGGACAGGAGGCUCCUGGUCAUCUCACUGUUGUGGGUACUUCUACCAGCCCUGGCUGCUCAGCUGCUGACUAAUGCAAUGGGGCUUUUUCCUGCCCUGCCCAAGGAAGCUGAACCCUUUGCAAGUGCUGCCUGUCCCCAGAGCUGGUGUGGCUGGUGUGGGAUCAUGUCACCCCUCAGCUGUGUCUGAACUGGGUGCUGUGUGCAUGCUGUGCUACAGGGCAGGGCAAGAUCUCAGUGGGAGCUCUGGGUGAGUAUGCAACAUGCUGUGAAGGGCAUUUUCUUUGGACACACAGAGAAGUUUAGGCUUUUGGUGCUGCUUCC
RNAcentral lists this long non-coding RNA (2096 nucleotides) under Anas platyrhynchos platyrhynchos (common mallard). RNAcentral describes it as "lncRNA (ENSAPLG00000030424.1)". The record is from RNAcentral. Lineage: Eukaryota; Metazoa; Chordata; Aves; Anseriformes; Anatidae.